RNAcentral lists this ribosomal RNA (501 nucleotides) under uncultured bacterium. RNAcentral's name for it is "partial 16S ribosomal RNA". It matches the Rfam family "Bacterial small subunit ribosomal RNA", at positions 30 to 523 of the family's 1533-position model. The record is from RNAcentral.
AUUGAACGCUGGCGGCAUGCCUUACACAUGCAAGUCGAACGGCAGCACGGGUGCUUGCACCUGGUGGCGAGUGGCGAACGGGUGAGAAAUACAUCGGAACGUACCUUAUCGUGGGGGAUAACGCAGCGAAAGUUGCGCUAAUACCGCAUACGCCCUGAGGGGGGAAGCGGGGGACCGUAAGGCCUCGCGCGAUGAGAGCGGCCGAUUUCUGAUUAGCUUGUUGGUGGGGUAAAAGCUCACCACGUCGAUGAUCAGUAGCUGGUCUGAGAGGACGCUCAGCCACACGUGGACUGAGACACGGCCCAGACUCCUACGGGAGGCAGCAGUGGGGAAUUUUGGACAAUGGGGGCAACCCUGAUCCAGCAAUGCCGCGUGAGUGAAGAAGGCCUUCGGGUUGUAAAGCUCUUUUGUCAGGGAAGAAACAGCAGCUCUAACACAGUCUGCGAAUGACGGUACCUGAAGAAUAAGCACCGGCUAACUACGUGCCAGCAGCCGCGGUAA